This 85-nucleotide small RNA is filed under the name Alloiococcus otitis. RNAcentral describes it as "SAM-III sequence". It matches the Rfam family "SAM-III riboswitch aptamer (SMK box)". RNAcentral also lists the same sequence under 1 other name. The record is from RNAcentral. Lineage: Bacteria; Bacillati; Bacillota; Bacilli; Lactobacillales; Carnobacteriaceae.
AAUGGUUUACAUUGAAUUCCUGAUAAGACGGCAGUCUAAGCCGGAAGCCUUGUAACCGAAUAGAAUAUUGGGGGAAUCUUAAAUG